RNAcentral lists this non-coding RNA (28 nucleotides) under Mus musculus (house mouse). Lineage: Eukaryota; Metazoa; Chordata; Mammalia; Rodentia; Muridae. The record is from RNAcentral.
UCCUCUGAUUUGGUUGACUCUGUUAUGG